CCUACGGGAGGCAGCAGUAGGGAAUCUUCCACAAUGGGCGAAAGCCUGAUGGAGCAACGCCGCGUGGGUGAAGCAGGUCUUCGGAUCGUAAAACCCUGUUGUUAGAGAAGAAAGUGCGUGAGAGUAACUGUUCACGUUUCGACGGUAUCUACCCAGAAAGCCACGGCUAACUACGUGCCAGCAGCCGCGGUAAUACGUAGGUGGCAAGCGUUAUCCGGAUUUAUUGGGCGUAAAGGGAACGCAGGCGGUCUUUUAAGUCUGAUGUGAAAGCCUUCGGCUUAACCGGAGUAGUGCAUUGGAAACUGGGAGACUGGAGGGCAGAAGAGGAGAGGGGAACUCCAUGUGUAGCGGUGAAAUGCGGAGAUAUAUGGAAGAACACCAGUGGCGAAAGCGGCUCUCUGGUCUGUAACUGACGCUGAGGUUCGAAAGCGUGGGUAGCAAACAGGAUUAGAUACCCGUGUAGUC
Molecule: ribosomal RNA, 465 nt
Filed under: uncultured bacterium
Lineage: Bacteria
Description: partial 16S ribosomal RNA
Rfam family: Bacterial small subunit ribosomal RNA
Source: RNAcentral